AUGAGGAUUGUGCUGCCGCUGCUGCUGCUUCUCGUGGCGUCGGCCGCAGUUGGAUCUGCGGCGGAGGCCGGGCGGCGGAAAGGGAAAGGAACUCGAUACAGCGUCAUGGCUUUCCAUGCCGCCGGGGACGGCGAGACGGAUGAUUCCAAGGCGUUCGAGGAGACAUGGGACUCAGCUUGCAGAGAUAGCGGCGGGGCGACGGUGUACGUCCCUGAAGGAAGGACCUUCCUGCUGGGAGAAACCAAGUUGCAGGGACCCUGCAAGUCACCGAUCACCAUGCAGGUGGACGGGGACAUCGUGGCGCCAAGCUCCCUCUGGAGCCUAAAGUCGUUAACAAGCCUCCUGGCCUUCUACAGGGUGGACAACCUGACGGUGGACGGCAUCGGGCAGAUCGACGGCCGAGGCGCGCCGUGGUGGGACUGCUACAACCAGAAGAAAUGCCAUUACCGGCCACAGCUGGUGUCAUUCUCGUUCUGCAACGGUCUACGGGUGACCAACAUUCGCCUCAAGGACAGCGCCGACAAGCACAUGAGCGUGUUCGAGUGCAGCCAGGUGCAGGUGCACAACGUCUCCGUCAUGGCGCCCUGGGACAGCCCCAACACGGACGGGAUCACCAUGGGGGCCUCCGACCAUGUCCGCAUCUCCUCUUGCAACAUCCACAGCGGUGAUGACUGCGUGUCGAUUCUAACGGGCACCACCGAUGUCAACGUCACUGACGUCACGUGUGGGCCCGGCCAUGGCAUCAGUGUGGGAAGCCUUGGAGGUGCCGGUGAAAAACCAGCGCUGGUGGAAAGAAUUACACUAUCCAACUGCAACUUCUUUAGUACGAUGACCGGUGUCAGGAUCAAAUCGUGGCAGGGAGGGCGAGGCAAAGCGAACACGUUCCUUUUCAGGGACCUCAACAUGACUGAAGUACGGUAUCCUAUCGACAUUGACCAGUUCUAUUGCCCCCAGGCAAACUGUCCAGAACGGGAAGGUGGUGUGGCCAUAACAGACGCGAGGUUCAUCAACAUCCGGGGGACGUCCUCGGAGCAAGAGGCCAUCCAGAUCCUGUGCAGCAAAAGCGCGCCGUGCCACGGGAUUUUUCUCCACAACGUUGACCUCUCUUGGGCCAACCACACGGCCCCAACAAAAGCCAAAAUCCUAAAUGCCCAAGGACGCGUCGCGGGCACGGUGAAGCCACAAGUACGGUUCCGCGGCCUUUGA
Molecule: ribosomal RNA, 1206 nt
Filed under: Triticum aestivum (bread wheat)
Lineage: Eukaryota; Viridiplantae; Streptophyta; Magnoliopsida; Poales; Poaceae
Description: partial small subunit ribosomal RNA
Source: RNAcentral